UUUAAUUUCCUUCCAUUUCCCCUUCAUUUCCUUCCAUUUCCCUUUAAUUUCCUUCUAUUUCCCUUUAAUUUCCUUCCAUUUCCCCUUCAUUUCCUCUCAUUUCUCCUUCCUUUCCAUCUAUUUCCCCUUCAUUUCCUUCCGUUUCCCUUUAAUUUCCUUCCAUUUCCCUUUAAUUUCCUUCCAUUUCCUCUUAAUUUCCUUCCAUUUCCCUUUAAUUUCCUUCCAUUUCCUCCAUCAUUUCCUUCCCUUUUCCCCCAUUUCCUUCCCUUUUCCCCUCCAUUUUCCUCACUUUCUUCCCCUUUCUGUCCUUUUCCCCCUCCACUUCCUUCACUUUUCCCCCAUUUCUUCCCUUUCACCCCCUUUUCCUUCAAUUUUCCCCAUUUCCUUCCUUUUCCCCUCCACUUCCUUCCCUUUUUCCCCAUUUCCUCCCCUUUUCCCUCAAUUUUCCCCACUUUCCCCCCUAUUUCCCCUCUAUUUUCAUCACUUUUCCCCCAUUUCCUUCCUGUUUCCCCUCCACUUCCUUCCCUUUUCCCCCAUUUCCUUCCCUUUUCCAUUCAAUUUUCCUCACUUUAUCCCCAUUUCCUUCCUGUUUCCCCUCUAUUUCUUCCCUUUCCCCCCUUUUCCUUCACUUUUCCCCAUUUCCUUCCUUUUUCCCCUCCAUUUUCUUCACUUUUCCCCAUUUCCUUCCCUUUUCCCCUCAGUUUUCCUCACUUUU
Molecule: long non-coding RNA, 715 nt
Filed under: Coturnix japonica (Japanese quail)
Lineage: Eukaryota; Metazoa; Chordata; Aves; Galliformes; Phasianidae
Description: lncRNA (ENSCJPG00005000505.1)
Source: RNAcentral